RNAcentral lists this ribosomal RNA (497 nucleotides) under uncultured bacterium. RNAcentral's name for it is "partial 16S ribosomal RNA". It matches the Rfam family "Bacterial small subunit ribosomal RNA", at positions 28 to 507 of the family's 1533-position model. The record is from RNAcentral.
GAUGAACGCUGGCGGCGUGCCUAAUACAUGCAGGUCGAGCGAACGGACGAGAAGCUUGCUUCUCUGAUGUUAGCGGCGGACGGGUGAGUAACACGUGGAUAACCUACCUAUAAGACUGGGAUAACUUCGGGAAACCGGAGCUAAUACCGGAUAAUAUUUUGAACCGCAUGGUUCAAAGGUGAAAGACGGUCUUGCUGUCACUUAUAGAUGGAUCCGCGCUGCAUUAGCUAGUUGGUAAGGUAACGGCUUACCAAGGCAACGAUGCAUAGCCGACCUGAGAGGGUGAUCGGCCACACUGGAACUGAGACACGGUCCAGACUCCUACGGGAGGCAGCAGUAGGGAAUCUUCCGCAAUGGGCGAAAGCCUGACGGAGCAACGCCGCGUGAGUGAUGAAGGUCUUCGGAUCGUAAAACUCUGUUAUUAGGGAAGAACAUAUGUGUAAGUAACUGUGCACAUCUUGACGGUACCUAAUCAGAAAGCCACGGCUAACUACGUG